AGGUGUUACUUACAAACUGGCAAUGUGACAUUUGAGGAGAGACUUAAAGGAAGUGAAAGAGUAAGGAUGUGGGAAGAAAGUUCCAGGAAAAGAGAAUGAUCAGUACAAAGGCCCUGAGGAGGGAGUGUGUUUGGCAUGUUCAAGAAAACCAGCAAGGAGAUCCACAUGGGAAGCAGAAUAAGCCAGGAGACGAUGUCAGACAAGUCAAGAAAUAGAACCUUGCCAGAACCCUAGGAGCCCCUUUCCCAAAGGAAUUCCAACCCUCGUUGCUGUCCCGAAGAGAGAGAGAGAGAGAGC
Lynx canadensis (Canada lynx) is the source of this 297-nucleotide long non-coding RNA. RefSeq lists it as uncharacterized. The record is from RefSeq and is a predicted model, not a curated record. NCBI's taxonomy places the organism in Eukaryota, Metazoa, Chordata, Mammalia, Carnivora, Felidae. The transcript is spliced from 3 exons.